Molecule: non-coding RNA, 175 nt
Organism: Staphylococcus sp. HMSC078E07
Lineage: Bacteria; Bacillati; Bacillota; Bacilli; Caryophanales; Staphylococcaceae
Source: Rfam
UUUGUUUAUAAGACUCAUCUACUAAUCCAUGCCCUGUUAAAUGAAUGAUUUGAUAAUCAUGUAGUAAAGCUUCAAGAUUUUCUCUAAUAAUAUCAUUUAAUUUUUUACUACCUAGGCUACCACCCAUAACAAGUAAUACUUUUUUAUCUGAAUCAAACCCUGUUAUUUCAUAACC